GACGCCGUGGCCGAGCGGUUCAGGCGGCGGUCUGCAGAACCGUCACACGUGGGUUCGAAUCCCACCGGCGUCUCC
This 75-nucleotide transfer RNA is filed under the name Actinomadura citrea. RNAcentral describes it as "tRNA-Cys". It matches the Rfam family "tRNA". Rfam says of the family: Transfer RNA (tRNA) molecules are approximately 80 nucleotides in length. Their secondary structure includes four short double-helical elements and three loops (D, anti-codon, and T loops). The record is from RNAcentral. Lineage: Bacteria; Bacillati; Actinomycetota; Actinomycetes; Streptosporangiales; Thermomonosporaceae.